This 68-nucleotide transfer RNA is filed under the name Megacopta cribraria (bean plataspid). RNAcentral describes it as "tRNA-Tyr". The record is from RNAcentral. Lineage: Eukaryota; Metazoa; Arthropoda; Insecta; Hemiptera; Plataspidae.
GAUAAAGUGGCUGAAGAUUAUUAGGUAGUAAAUUGUAAAUUUAUUUAUGGUUAAAUAACCCUUUAUCA